Molecule: ribosomal RNA, 540 nt
Filed under: uncultured bacterium
Lineage: Bacteria
Description: bacterial SSU rRNA
Rfam family: Bacterial small subunit ribosomal RNA
Source: RNAcentral
GAGGAAUAUUGGUCAAUGGGCGAGAGCCUGAACCAGCCAAGUAGCGUGCAGGAAGACGGCCCUAUGGGUUGUAAACUGCUUUUAUAGGGGAAUAAAGUGAUCCACGUGUGGAUUAUUGUAUGUACCCUAUGAAUAAGGACCGGCUAAUUCCGUGCCAGCAGCCGCGGUAAUACGGAAGGUUCGGGCGUUAUCCGGAUUUAUUGGGUUUAAAGGGAGCGUAGGCCGUAGAUUAAGCGUGUUGUGAAAUGUAGAUGCUCAACAUCUGACUUGCAGCGCGAACUGGUUUACUUGAGUGUGCGCAACGUAGGCGGAAUUCGUCGUGUAGCGGUGAAAUGCUUAGAUAUGACGAAGAACUCCGAUUGCGAAGGCAGCUUACGGGAGCACAACUGACGCUGAAGCUCGAAGGUGCGGGUAUCAAACAGGAUUAGAUACCCUGGUAGUCCGCACAGUAAACGCUGGAUGCCCGCUGUUGGUUCAUUAGAGUCAGCGGCCAAGCGAAAGCAUUAAGCAUCCCACCUGGGGAGUACGCCGGCAACGGUG